This is a microRNA precursor of Choloepus hoffmanni (Hoffmann's two-fingered sloth), 102 nucleotides long. The record is from Ensembl. Lineage: Eukaryota; Metazoa; Chordata; Mammalia; Pilosa; Megalonychidae.
GUGGACCCGGCCAGCCCCACCUGGAAGACUAGUGAUUUUGUUGUUGUCUCACUGUGCGCUCAACAACAAGUCCCAGUCUACCGCAUGGUGCUGGCUACCGCA